AAGAAAGUGACAGAGUGGUCAUGUGACUGGCUUGAAACCGGUAGAUGGGGGUUCAAUUCCUUCCUUUCUUG
RNAcentral lists this transfer RNA (71 nucleotides) under Ophichthus rotundus. RNAcentral describes it as "tRNA-Ser". It matches the Rfam family "tRNA". From Rfam's summary of the family: Transfer RNA (tRNA) molecules are approximately 80 nucleotides in length. Lineage: Eukaryota; Metazoa; Chordata; Actinopteri; Anguilliformes; Ophichthidae. The record is from RNAcentral.